RNAcentral lists this small nuclear RNA (105 nucleotides) under Mus spicilegus (steppe mouse). The record is from RNAcentral. Lineage: Eukaryota; Metazoa; Chordata; Mammalia; Rodentia; Muridae.
AUGCUCACUUUGGUAGCACAUACAAUAAAAUUUGAACAAUACAGAGAAGAUUAGCAUGGCCCCUGCACAAGGAUGACACAAAUUUGUGAAGCAUUGCAUAUUUUU